UGGGGAAUAUUGCACAAUGGGCGCAAGCCUGAUGCAGCCAUGCCGCGUGUAUGAAGAAGGCCUUCGGGUUGUAAAAGUACUUUCAGCGGGGAGGAAGGUGAUAAGGUUAAUAACCUUGUCGAUUGACGUUACCCGCAGAAGAAGCACCGGCUAACUCCGUGCCAGCGCCGCGGUAAUACGGAGGGUGCAAGCGUUAAUCGGAAUUACUGGGCGUAAAGCGCACGCAGGCGGUCUGUCAAGUCGGAUGUGAAAUCCCCGGGCUCAACCUGGGAACUGCAUUCGAAACUGGCAGGCUGGAGUCUUGUAGAGGGGGUAGAAUUCCAGGUGUAGCGGUGAAAUUGCGUAGAGAUCUGGAGGAAUACCGGUGGCGAAGGCGGCCCCCCUGGACAAAGACUGACGCUCAGGUGCGAAAGCGUGGGACAAACA
This 426-nucleotide ribosomal RNA is filed under the name uncultured Enterobacteriaceae bacterium. Its description in RNAcentral is "bacterial SSU rRNA". It matches the Rfam family "Bacterial small subunit ribosomal RNA", at positions 355 to 774 of the family's 1533-position model. The record is from RNAcentral. Lineage: Bacteria; Pseudomonadati; Pseudomonadota; Gammaproteobacteria; Enterobacterales; Enterobacteriaceae.